CGGACAGUGUCUGGUGGGUAGUUUGACUGGGGCGGUCUCCUCCUAAAGAGUAACGGAGGAGCACGAAGGUUGGCUAAUCCUGGUCGGACAUCAGGAGGUUAGUGCAAUGGCAUAAGCCAGCUUGACUGCGAGCGUGACGGCGCGAGCAGGUGCGAAAGCAGGUCAUAGUGAUCCGGUGGUUCUGAAUGGAAGGGCCAUCGCUCAACGGAUAAAAGGUACUCCGGGGAUAACAGGCUGAUACCGCCCAAGAGUUCAUAUCGACGGCGGUGUUUGGCACCUCGAUGUCGGCUCAUCACAUCCUGGGGCUGAAGUAGGUCCCAAGGGUAUGGCUGUUCGCCAUUUAAAGUGGUACGCGAGCUGGGUUUAGAACGUCGUGAGACAGUUCGGUCCCUAUCUGCCGUGGGCGCUGGAGAACUGAGGGGGGCUGCUCCUAGUACGAGAGGACCGGAGUGGACGCAUCACUGGUGUUCGGGUUGUCAUGCCAAUGGCACUGCCCGGUAGCUAAAUGCGGAAGAGAUAAGUGCUGAAAGCAUCUAAGCACGAAACUUGCCCCGAGAUGAGUUCUCCCUGAGACUUAGAGUCUCCUGAAGGAACGUUGAAGACGACGACGUUGAUAGGCCGGGUGUGUAAGCGCAGCGAUGCGUUGAGCUAACCGGUACUAAUGAACCGUGAGGCUUAACCUUAC
Molecule: ribosomal RNA, 685 nt
Filed under: Salmonella enterica subsp. enterica serovar Thompson
Lineage: Bacteria; Pseudomonadati; Pseudomonadota; Gammaproteobacteria; Enterobacterales; Enterobacteriaceae
Also listed under: 1 other name
Description: partial 23S ribosomal RNA
Rfam family: Bacterial large subunit ribosomal RNA
Source: RNAcentral